This 844-nucleotide ribosomal RNA is filed under the name Pseudomonas sp. RNAcentral describes it as "bacterial SSU rRNA". It matches the Rfam family "Bacterial small subunit ribosomal RNA", at positions 24 to 863 of the family's 1533-position model. Lineage: Bacteria; Pseudomonadati; Pseudomonadota; Gammaproteobacteria; Pseudomonadales; Pseudomonadaceae. The record is from RNAcentral.
UCAGAUUUGACGCUGGCGGCAGGCCUAACACAUGCAAGUCGAGCGGUAGAGAGAAGCUUGCUUCUCUUGAGAGCGGCGGACGGGUGAGUAAUGCCUAGGAAUCUGCCUGGUAGUGGGGGAUAACGUUCGGAAACGGACGCUAAUACCGCAUACGUCCUACGGGAGAAAGCAGGGGACCUUCGGGCCUUGCGCUAUCAGAUGAGCCUAGGUCGGAUUAGCUAGUUGGUGAGGUAAUGGCUCACCAAGGCGACGAUCCGUAACUGGUCUGAGAGGAUGAUCAGUCACACUGGAACUGAGACACGGUCCAGACUCCUACGGGAGGCAGCAGUGGGGAAUAUUGGACAAUGGGCGAAAGCCUGAUCCAGCCAUGCCGCGUGUGUGAAGAAGGUCUUCGGAUUGUAAAGCACUUUAAGUUGGGAGGAAGGGUUGUAGAUUAAUACUCUGCAAUUUUGACGUUACCGACAGAAUAAGCACCGGCUAACUCUGUGCCAGCAGCCGCGGUAAUACAGAGGGUGCAAGCGUUAAUCGGAAUUACUGGGCGUAAAGCGCGCGUAGGUGGUUUGUUAAGUUGGAUGUGAAAUCCCCGGGCUCAACCUGGGAACUGCAUUCAAAACUGACUGACUAGAGUAUGGUAGAGGGUGGUGGAAUUUCCUGUGUAGCGGUGAAAUGCGUAGAUAUAGGAAGGAACACCAGUGGCGAAGGCGACCACCUGGACUAAUACUGACACUGAGGUGCGAAAGCGUGGGGAGCAAACAGGAUUAGAUACCCUGGUAGUCCACGCCGUAAACGAUGUCAACUAGCCGUUGGAAGCCUUGAGCUUUUAGUGGCGCAGCUAACGCAUUAA